Molecule: ribosomal RNA, 694 nt
Filed under: uncultured bacterium
Lineage: Bacteria
Description: bacterial SSU rRNA
Rfam family: Bacterial small subunit ribosomal RNA
Source: RNAcentral
GUCGACGGCAGCACGGGAGCAAUCCUGGUGGCGAGUGGCGAACGGGUGAGUAAUGUAUCGGAACGUACCUUUCAGUGGGGGAUAACGUAGCGAAAGUUACGCUAAUACCGCAUAUUCUGUGAGCAGGAAAGCAGGGGAUCGCAAGACCUUGCGCUGAUUGAGCGGCCGAUAUCAGAUUAGCUAGUUGGUGGGGUAAAAGCCCACCAAGGCGACGAUCUGUAGCUGGUCUGAGAGGACGACCAGCCACACUGGAACUGAGACACGGUCCAGACUCCUACGGGAGGCAGCAGUGGGGAAUUUUGGACAAUGGGCGCAAGCCUGAUCCAGCAAUGCCGCGUGCAGGACGAAGGCCUUCGGGUUGUAAACUGCUUUUGUACGGAACGAAAAAGUCUGCCCUAAUACGGUGGGCUCAUGACGGUACCGUAAGAAUAAGCACCGGCUAACUACGUGCCAGCAGCCGCGGUAAUACGUAGGGUGCAAGCGUUAAUCGGAAUUACUGGGCGUAAAGCGUGCGCAGGCGGUUUUGUAAGACAGAUGUGAAAUCCCCGGGCUCAACCUGGGACCUGCAUUUGUGACUGCAAAGCUAGAGUACGGCAGAGGGGGAUGGAAUUCCGCGUGUAGCAGUGAAAUGCGUAGAGAUGUGGAGGAACACCGAUGGCGAAAGCAGCCCCCUGGGCCAAUACUGACGCUCAUG